Molecule: transfer RNA, 83 nt
Filed under: Cordylochernes scorpioides
Lineage: Eukaryota; Metazoa; Arthropoda; Arachnida; Pseudoscorpiones; Chernetidae
Description: tRNA-Leu
Source: RNAcentral
AUCAGGAUGGCCGAGCGGUCUAAAGGCUGCGUUCAGGUCGCAGUCUACUCUUGUAGGCGAGGGUUCGAAUCCCACUUCUAACA